Molecule: non-coding RNA, 735 nt
Organism: Thamnophis sirtalis
Lineage: Eukaryota; Metazoa; Chordata; Lepidosauria; Squamata; Natricidae
Source: RefSeq, a predicted model, not a curated record
GCCGACCCUGUGCGAUCUAACGGGUCUGUGGGAGGUAAUUGGCAGAAGGCGGUCUCUCCUUGGUAUGGACAAUGGUGACAACUAUACGACUUUUGGACUGAAACCCCCAGAAUUCCUGGGAUAGCAUGGGUGGCUGGGGAAUUUUGGGAGCUGCAUCCCGCAGGUCGCAAAAUUGCCAGAAUUGCCCACCCCGGCUCUGUUUGCGUAAGGGGGGAUAACAUUUUGGGUGCUCAGAACGUCUCUUCUCAACCUCCAAUUCUGUUGUGCGUGCUUUCUUUCGUUUUUGAAAUUGUUCUAGCAAGGCAGACUUGACGAAUCCGUUUGUGACUCUGAAUCCAAAUGCGACUGGCGUCUUCACCGGCCCUUAUCCUUUCGGCAUAGAUCCGAUGUGGAGCCUUGCAAGCAACCGCCUCACCUUCCUCAAUUCCUUCAAAAUGAAAAUGUCAAUCAUUAUCGGAAUGGUGCACAUGGUCUUUGGGAUUGCUCUGGGGGGCUUUAACUACAUGUAUUUCAGGAAGACGUACAAUAUUUACUUGGUGUUCAUUCCUCAACUUCUGUUCCUUCUGUCCAUUUUUGGCUACCUGGUGUUCAUGAUCAUCUUUAAAUGGCUGGCUUACGGCGCUGAAAAUUCCAGUUCUGCUCCCAGUAUCCUGCUUCAAUUUAUUAACAUGUUUCUGUUCCAUGAUAACAAGAACCAAAUCCUCUUCUCAGGGCAGGUGGGUCAUCCUUAGAACC